AGAGUUGUAGCCUGGUGGUGGAGCAUUUGCCUUGCAUGUAGAAGGUCCCAAGUUCAAUCCCUGGUAUCUCCA
Molecule: non-coding RNA, 72 nt
Organism: Podarcis lilfordi (Lilford's wall lizard)
Lineage: Eukaryota; Metazoa; Chordata; Lepidosauria; Squamata; Lacertidae
Source: the annotation of a GenBank genome assembly